This 40-nucleotide ribosomal RNA is filed under the name uncultured eukaryote. RNAcentral describes it as "partial Bacterial large subunit ribosomal RNA". The record is from RNAcentral.
CACAUCGACGGUAACGCUUAGCACCUCGAUGGUGGCUCAG